GAUAAAGCAGGGGAUUGAUUCAAUAUCAACCUUGCGCUUUUAGAUGAUUCCAUGCCGGAUUAGCUAGUUGGUAGAGUAAUAGCCUACCAAGGUAACGAUCCGUAGCUGGUCUGAGAGGAUGAUCAGCCACACUGGGACUGAGAUACGGCCCUGACUCCUACGGGAGGCAGCAGUGGGGAAUAUUGGACAAUGGGGGAAACCCUGAUCCAGUCAUGCCGCGUGUGUGAAGAAGGCCUUUGGGUUGUAAAGCACUUUCAGUGAGGAAGAAAAAUUAUAAAAAAAAAAGUUAUAAAUAUGACGGUACUCGCAGAAGAAGCACCGGCUAACUCCGUGCCAGCAGCCGCGGUAAAACGGAGGGUGCAAGCGUUAAUCGGAAUUACUGGGCGUAAAGGGCAUGUAGGUGGUUAGUUAAGCCUUAUGUGAAAGCCCUAUGCUUAACAUAGGAACUGGAUAAGGAACUGACAAACUAGAGUGCAGAAGAGGAAGGUAGAAUUCCAGGUGUAGCGGUGAAAUGCGUAGAUAUCUGGAGGAAUACCAGUGGCGAAGGCGACCUUCUGGGCUGACACUGACACUGAGAUGCGAAAGCGUGGGGAGCAAACAGGAUUAGAUACCCUGGUAGUCCACGCUGUAAACGAUAUCAACUAGCCGUUUGAUUCUUAAGAAUUUGGUGGCGUAGCUAACGCGAUAAGUUGAUCGCCUGGGGAGUACGGUCGCAAGGCUAAAACUCAAAUGAAUUGACGGGGGCCCGCACAAGCGGUGGAGCAUGUGGUUUAAUUCGAUGCAACGCGCAGAACCUUACCUACUCUUGACAUCCAAAGUACUUUUCAGAGAUGGAAGGGUGCCUUAGGGAACUUUGAGACAGGUGCUGCAUGGCUGUCGUCAGCUCGUGUUGUGAAAUGUUGGGUUAAGUCCCGUAACGAGCGCAACCCUUGUCCUUAGUUGCCAACGCUUAAGGCGGGAACUUUAAGGAGACUGCUGGUGAUAAACCGGAGGAAGGUGGGGACGACGUCAAGUCAUCAUGGCCCUAAGAGUAGG
Molecule: ribosomal RNA, 1035 nt
Filed under: Candidatus Portiera aleyrodidarum (primary endosymbiont of Bemisia tabaci)
Lineage: Bacteria; Pseudomonadati; Pseudomonadota; Gammaproteobacteria; Johnevansiales (SeqCode); Johnevansiaceae (SeqCode)
Description: bacterial SSU rRNA
Rfam family: Bacterial small subunit ribosomal RNA
Source: RNAcentral